AUACGUAGGGGGCAAGCGUUAUCCGGAUUUACUGGGUGUAAAGGGAGCGUAGACGGCACUGCAAGUCUGGAGUGAAAGCCCGGGGCUCAACCCCGGGACUGCUUUGGAAACUGUGGUGCUAGAGUGCAGGAGAGGUAAGUGGAAUUCCUAGUGUAGCGGUGAAAUGCGUAGAUAUUAGGAGGAACACCAGUGGCGAAGGCGGCUUACUGGACUGUAACUGACGUUGAGGCUCGAAAGCGUGGGGAGCAAACAGGAUUAGAUCCCCUGGUAGUCCACGCCGUAAACGAUGAAUACUAGGUGUUGGGGAGCAAAGCUCUUCGGUGCCGCCGCUAACGCAAUAAGUAUUCCACCUGGGGAGUACGUUCGCAAGAAUGAAACUCAAAUGAAUUGACGGGG
RNAcentral lists this ribosomal RNA (396 nucleotides) under uncultured bacterium. Its description in RNAcentral is "partial 16S ribosomal RNA". It matches the Rfam family "Bacterial small subunit ribosomal RNA", at positions 523 to 918 of the family's 1533-position model. The record is from RNAcentral.